CAGCAGUCGCCGCGGGAAUACAGAGGGUGCGAGCGUUAAUCGGAUUUACUGGGCGUAAAGCGUGCGUAGGCGGCUUCUUAAGUCGGAUGUGAAAUCCCUGAGCUUAACUUAGGAAUUGCAUUCGAUACUGGGAAGCUAGAGUAUGGGAGAGGAUGGUAGAAUUCCAGGUGUAGCGGUGAAAUGCGUAGAGAUCUGGAGGAAUACCGAUGGCGAAGGCAGCCAUCUGGCCUAAUACUGACGCUGAGGUACGAAAGCAUGGGGAGCAAACAGGAUUAGAUACCCGUGUAGUCCCUGUCUCUUAUAA
Molecule: ribosomal RNA, 304 nt
Filed under: uncultured bacterium
Lineage: Bacteria
Description: partial 16S ribosomal RNA
Rfam family: Bacterial small subunit ribosomal RNA
Source: RNAcentral